CACGUAGGGGGCGAGCGUUGUCCGGAUUUAUUGGGCGUAAAGAGCUCGUAGGCGGCUCGGUAAGUCGGGUGUGAAAUUUCAGGGCUCAACCCUGAAAAGCCAUCCGAUACUGCUGUGGCUAGAGUCCGGUAGGGGAGUGGGGAAUUCCUGGUGUAGCGGUGAAAUGCGCAGAUAUCAGGAGGAACACCAGCGGCGAAGGCGCCACUCUGGCCCGAUACUGACGCUGAGGCACGAAAGCGUGGGGAGCAAACAGGAUAGAUACC
RNAcentral lists this ribosomal RNA (263 nucleotides) under uncultured bacterium. Its description in RNAcentral is "partial 16S ribosomal RNA". It matches the Rfam family "Bacterial small subunit ribosomal RNA", at positions 524 to 786 of the family's 1533-position model. The record is from RNAcentral.